Molecule: long non-coding RNA, 298 nt
Filed under: Rhinopithecus roxellana (golden snub-nosed monkey)
Lineage: Eukaryota; Metazoa; Chordata; Mammalia; Primates; Cercopithecidae
Description: lncRNA (ENSRROG00000046003.1)
Source: RNAcentral
CCGCCCCUUGCUUGGCCUGGCCGUGGCGGCCUUGCUCUGCAGGCAGUGCUUCCCUCGGGCGUGGGUCUGCAGGAGAGCCGGACAGGGCAGCGGCCGGCACUACCGCGCCGCGAUUUGCGCAGAGCUGAAGAAGACCCUGACCACUGAAGAGGUGGACCCCCGCCCCGUCGGGCUCACGAGCCUGGCAUGGGAGGGCAGGAUUGUGGUGGUGGGAUUUGCUGGAGGAAACAUUGCUUCUGUACCAGCCAACCGUCUGCUCCUGAAGAAUGUCUCUGCCAUGGGCCUGUACUGUGACUGA